GAUGAACGCUAGCGGCAGGCUUAAUACAUGCAAGUCGAGGGGCAGCAUGACUGUAGCAAUACAGUUGAUGGCGACCGGCAAACGGGUGCGGAACACGUACGCAACCUUCCCAAAACUGGUGAAUAGCCUUUCGAAAGAGAGAUUAAUACACCGUAACUUAAUGAAGUGGCAUCACUUUAUUAGAAUAGCUCCGGCGGUUU
RNAcentral lists this ribosomal RNA (200 nucleotides) under uncultured bacterium. RNAcentral's name for it is "partial 16S ribosomal RNA". It matches the Rfam family "Bacterial small subunit ribosomal RNA", at positions 28 to 221 of the family's 1533-position model. The record is from RNAcentral.